RNAcentral lists this small RNA (166 nucleotides) under uncultured Lachnospira sp. Its description in RNAcentral is "Clostridiales-1 RNA". It matches the Rfam family "Clostridiales-1 RNA". Lineage: Bacteria; Bacillati; Bacillota; Clostridia; Lachnospirales; Lachnospiraceae. The record is from RNAcentral.
GAUACUAGGGGCAAAAGGUCAAAAUGCCGUUCAUGCUUGCAUGAUUAGGCAUUUGAACUUGAGACCCGCCAAACAUGAGGAAGUAGCGAUUUACAUAGUAAAUCAGCGGAUUCCGAAUGUUUGCAGAAUUGCGAGAGUUGCGAAGCAACGUAGCAAUUCGUAAUCA